Molecule: long non-coding RNA, 2209 nt
Filed under: Solanum tuberosum (potato)
Lineage: Eukaryota; Viridiplantae; Streptophyta; Magnoliopsida; Solanales; Solanaceae
Description: long non-coding RNA (STUB_LNC006398)
Source: RNAcentral
UGAGAAUUAACUACAACUCUCUCUUUCUCUUUUCUCUUAGGGAUUAAAACAGCAGCCAUAAAAUUUCUUCUAGGGUUCUUGAAGAAAUCCUCACCUUUGCAAGACAAGGUAAAUGAAAACACUUAUGGAUUUAGCUUAAUUCUCCCAUGAAUGAUUAGGAAAACAUGUUAUUUAUGCUCAAGUAUAAGUACAAAGGCAGAAUGUUUCCACAAGCUGCUACUCACUUUUCUUGAUUAUUUAGAUACUUUUCUCUUCUUCUUUGGUUUAAGUGUGAAGGGAAGUUGAAGUUCUUGAAGAUUCCAAGUUAAAAGGAAAGGUUGCAUAAAUUGAGGUAAGGUGACUACUCUAUUUUUGUCCUCUUUAUGCAUGAGUUUGAGUAAAGAAUUAUGGGUAUGUUAUUAUUAAGAACUCAAGAAAUAGUGAGUUCAAUACUUGGUUGCUAUGAUAAAGAAUAUUUGGGGUUGUUUUAUGUGUAUUGUUGUUGGGGCAGCUUGGGUAAUCUUGAAAAAGAUUAUCUAAGGUAUGUAUUGGAUAGAGAAUGAGGGUGUGGUGAUACACAUUUGUUUAAGGGUUGUAUGAGAUCAUUGUCCGUCAAAGUUAGCUAUUGUUUUACAAGGCCCACAAUGUGAUAGCUGCUGAUUUUAGUUUAUCAUGACUUAUAUUGUAGAUUAACAUCUAAAAGUGGAGGCUGAAUCGUGAUAGUUGUACUGGUCAGAGAAUAAGGUAUGUAAGGUUGUUCCAUUCCAUAUUUCUUUACAUGAAAUCUGGUAAUUGCAAUUAUUAUCAACAAAGUGAAUUUUCUAAGCUCUAUCCCUAGUAAGGGAAACAUAGUGACAGCAUACGAUCUCCAAAUAGCUAACAAUAUUUUCUACUCUUCCUAGUGUGUUGAAUUACUUCAUUAUAUGUUCAUUACUCUACAUUUGUAUAAUUAUCCUCCUAUGUGCUAGUAUAGAAAUGGUAUUCGCAACAGCAAGCUUGGUAAAUUCUCGUCUUAGUCAAUUGAAGUCAAUUGUGUCAUUUAAGCUUAUAAGUAAUGCAUUGAUGCUUCAUAGCUCCUUAUGUCAUUGUUAUUGUCUUGAAGUUAUUAUUCUCAUGUCUUCUACUACUGGUCCGUAGUUCCAAAUCUAAAACAUGAUUAUGACCAUCAAAACAACAAUCUCAAAGAUUAAAGAAACUAAGUGAAGCAAUUUGUAUAAUUAUGGGUGGCAGCCCAGGAGAAAAUGCCUAGCAUGAGUCGAUCUCAAUUGGUAUAGAAGGGUGGCAGCUCAGGGGAGAAAGCCUAGCAUGGGCCGAUCAAUUUGUGUAAUUACGAGGACAUCAUCCAAGGGGUUAAAAUGUCUAGCAUGGGUCAUCCUCUUCUACCACUAAUCAGCUAGUCAUUUGUAUCACAUGCCUUACAAAGAUUAUAAAGUACAGAAAAGUAAAGAAAAGAAUGUAACAUACAUGAUCCCACAAGAGUAAACAAAUGCGGUCUUCUAUUUCGAUCUAUGCACUUAUAUAUUGAUACUUGACUUCAUUUGAGCCUUUAUUUUACAUAUGUUAUUGCCUUACAUAUUCAGUACAUUUUUUUUGUACUAACGUCCCUCGUGGGGGACACUGCAUUUCAAGUUGCUGGCACAUGUACUCCAGCUAGUAGACUUCUUUAGUAGGAGCACAAAUACUCAAUUGCUAUUGGUGAGGCUCCAGGUUGAUUCGGAGCUUACCGAGUCUUUGACACCUAUCUUGUUACUGUAUGAUAGUUAAGGGUAAGGUGGGGCCUUGUCCCACCCUAAACUAAGGUUUUCUAUAUUUUAGAGGCUUCAUAUGCUGAUGUAUAUAGUUCAGUUGUGUCUUGUCUCUUAAGAAGUUGUGGCCUCAACGGCCAAGUCUUGUAUAUAAGUUUUGGAUCUACUUGUGUUGGUUCGUAUUGCUGCAUCCUAUAUGGACUUUUUACAACUUUAAAAUUUUUAUAGUUAUACGCAUAGUAAGCACAUGUUAUAUGUUGGUUCUCUCGGGCCUUUAGGGCAUCAGGUGCCAAUCCGUCUUAAUGGGAAUUGAGGUGUGACACAAUAGGCCUUCAUAUCCCUUUUCUUCAAGUUAAACAUACUAUUGAUAAAUGAUAAAGUUCUGACUGUGUUACCAAGUUGAAACCUAUGUACAAAGUAGUGCUAAUGUUUAUUUUAUGACAUUUGGAAAAUGAGGAAUAUUAUUAAACACGGGGGUGAUGGGG